Molecule: long non-coding RNA, 459 nt
Filed under: Nicotiana benthamiana
Lineage: Eukaryota; Viridiplantae; Streptophyta; Magnoliopsida; Solanales; Solanaceae
Description: long non-coding RNA (NBEN_LNC003672)
Source: RNAcentral
UUCAAAUACUUUUGUUUGUUGAAUAGAUUUGGCUUAGUUUAUUCUAGUCUAUGAGUCAUUGAUGGUAUGCCUAGCUGUACUUUGAAUCUUGAUCCAUUUUAGCGUUCGAUUGGGACUUGGGAGAGCUUGGAAGAAAUGAGUCUAUGAGUCAUUGAUGGUAUGCGUAGCCGUACUUUGAAUCUUGAUCCAUUUUAGUGGUCGAUUGGGAGAGCUUGGUUAAUGAAUAUAUCUUUGAGAUGAAAUCUCAUCUCCAGAGUACAUGCUUUAUCAUCUUCACUGCCGAGAAUUGUAGUUUGAAUCAAUAUUUCCUUUCAUAGUGUAGAUGUUGCACUUCAAAUACAGAUUUGUGGAGAAUCUCAGAAAUGGUGCAUUGUUUUCACAUUAGAUAAGUUUAAACUUGUGCAGUUAAUAUAAAUAAUGUAACUUGUAGUUUAAAGCUAGACUGUUCUUUUUGUUGCC